Molecule: non-coding RNA, 152 nt
Organism: Spodoptera litura
Lineage: Eukaryota; Metazoa; Arthropoda; Insecta; Lepidoptera; Noctuidae
Source: RefSeq, a predicted model, not a curated record
GGCGGCCGUAGUUAUGACAAUCUUAAUGGUAUAAAACUCGGGUCUACUGAAAUUGACGACAGUCAAUUCAAUCUUAAAUAUACCGAUGCUAAAAUACUUCCACUAUUGCAGGAAAAGUUCGUUAUAGCACUUCUAAAAUUACCUGACACUGU